GCCCACCGGGGCAAGGCAUGCCUGUAGACUCAGCUACUCGGGAGGCUGAAGCGGGAAGGUCGCUUGAGUCCAGGAGUUUGGGGAUGUCUUGUGCUAUGCUGAUUGGUGUCUGUACUAAGUUUGGCAUCACUAUGGUGAUCUCCCAGGAUCAGGAGACCACGAGGUUGACUAAGGAGGGAUGAACUGGCUCAGAUUGGAAACAGAGUAGGCCAAAACUCCCAUGCUAAUCAGUAGUGGGAUUGCACCUAUAAUUAGCCACUGUGCUUCAGCCUGAGCCACAUAGUGAAACCCCCAUCU
This 297-nucleotide signal recognition particle RNA is filed under the name Propithecus coquereli (Coquerel's sifaka). Its description in RNAcentral is "Metazoan signal recognition particle RNA (ENSPCOG00000001757.1)". It matches the Rfam family "Metazoan signal recognition particle RNA". From Rfam's summary of the family: The signal recognition particle (SRP) is a universally conserved ribonucleoprotein. The record is from RNAcentral. Lineage: Eukaryota; Metazoa; Chordata; Mammalia; Primates; Indriidae.